RNAcentral lists this ribosomal RNA (460 nucleotides) under uncultured bacterium. RNAcentral describes it as "partial 16S ribosomal RNA". It matches the Rfam family "Bacterial small subunit ribosomal RNA", at positions 338 to 795 of the family's 1533-position model. The record is from RNAcentral.
CCUACGGGAGGCAGCAGUGAGGAAUAUUGGUCAAUGGACGAGAGUCUGAACCAGCCAAGUAGCGUGAAGGAUGACUGCCCUAUGGGUUGUAAACUUCUUUUAUAAAGGAAUAAAACGAGGCACGUGUGCCUUUUUGCAUGUACUAUAUGAAUAAGGAUCGGCUAACGCCGUGCCAGCAGCCGCGGUAAUACGGAGGAUCCGAGCGUUAGCCGGAUUUAUUGGGUUUAAAGGGAGCGUAGAUGGGUUGUUAAGUCAGUUGUGAAAGUUUGCGGCUCAACCGUAAAAUUGCAAUUGAUACUGGCAGUCUUGAGUACAGUUGAGGUAGGCGGAAUUCGUGGUGUAGCAGUGAAAUGCUUAGAUAUCACGAAGAACCCCGAUUGCGAAGGCAGCUUACUAAACUGUGACUGACAUUGAUGCUCGAAAGUGUGGGUAUCAAACAGGAUUAGAUACCCGGGUAGUC